This 494-nucleotide ribosomal RNA is filed under the name uncultured bacterium. Its description in RNAcentral is "bacterial SSU rRNA". It matches the Rfam family "Bacterial small subunit ribosomal RNA", at positions 29 to 507 of the family's 1533-position model. The record is from RNAcentral.
AUGAACGCUAGCGGCAGGCUUAAUACAUGCAAGUCGAGGGGCAUCAAGGUACACGAAAGUGUAUUGUUGGCGACCGGCGGACGGGUGAGUAAUAGGUAGGUAACCUACCUCAUACUGAGGCAUAGCUGGGAGAAAUUCCAGGUAAUUCCUCAUGAGGUUAUAUGACACAUGUGAUAUAAUCAAAGGUAUCGCAAGGUACUGGUAUGAGAUGGGCUUACUGACCAUUAGCUAGUUGGUGAGAUAAGAGCUCACCAAGGCGAAGAUGGUUAGGGGUUUUGAGAGAGAGAUCCCCCACAUUGGAACUGAGAUACGGUCCAGACUCCUACGGGAGGCAGCAGUAGGGAAUAUUGGGCAAUGGGCGGAAGCCUGACCCAGCCAUGCCGCGUGAAGGAAGACGGCCUUAUGGGUUGUAAACUUCUUUACUAUGCGAAUAGAGGUUAGUACGAGAUACUAAUAGGAAGGUAGUGUAGUAAAAAGCACCGGCUAACUCCGUG